GAUGAACGCUGGCGGCGUGCCUAAUACAUGCAAGUCGAGCGAACAGAUAAGGAGCUUGCUCCUUUGACGUUAGCGGCGGACGGGUGAGUAACACGUGGAUAACCUACCUAUAAGACUGGGAUAACUUCGGGAAACCGGAGCUAAUACCGGAUAACAUAUUGAACCGCAUGGUUCAAUAGUGAAAGGCGGUUUUGCUGUCACUUAUAGAUGGAUCCGCGCCGCAUUAGCUAGUUGGUAAGGUAACGGCUUACCAAGGCAACGAUACGUAGCCGACCUGAGAGGGUGAUCGGCCACACUGGAACUGAGACACGGUCCAGACUCCUACGGGAGGCAGCAGUAGGGAAUCUUCCGCAAUGGGCGAAAGCCUGACGGAGCAACGCCGCGUGAGUGAUGAAGGUCUUCGGAUCGUAAAACUCUGUUAUCAGGGAAGAACAAAUGUGUAAGUAACUGUGCACAUCUUGACGGUACCUGAUCAGAAAGCCACGGCUAACUACGUG
This 497-nucleotide ribosomal RNA is filed under the name uncultured bacterium. RNAcentral's name for it is "partial 16S ribosomal RNA". It matches the Rfam family "Bacterial small subunit ribosomal RNA", at positions 28 to 507 of the family's 1533-position model. The record is from RNAcentral.